AACGAACGCUGGCGGCAUGCCUAACACAUGCAAGUCGAACGAGACCUUCGGGUCUAGUGGCGCACGGGUGCGUAACGCGUGGGAACCUGCCCUUAGGUUCGGAAUAACUCCCCGAAAGGGGUGCUAAUACCGGUUAAUGUCUUCGGACCAAAGAUUUAUCGCCUUUGGAUGGGCCCGCGUUGGAUUCGCUGGUUGGUAGGGUAAAAGCCUACCAAGGCGACGAUCCAUAGCUGGUCGGAGAGGAUGAUCAGCCACACUGGGAAUGAGACACGGCCCAGACUCCUACGGGAGGCAGCAGUGGGGAAUAUUGGACGAGGGGCGAAAGCCUGAUACAGCAAUGCCGCGUGAGUGAUGAAGGCCUUAGGGUUGUAAAGCUCUUUUACCCGGGAUGAUAAUGACAGUACCGGGAGAAUAAGCUCCGGCUAACUCCGUG
Molecule: ribosomal RNA, 433 nt
Filed under: uncultured bacterium
Lineage: Bacteria
Description: partial 16S ribosomal RNA
Rfam family: Bacterial small subunit ribosomal RNA
Source: RNAcentral